ACGCUCUUACCAUUGUGAUGUCAUCUACCAUGAAGCUUUCACCAGAGCUGAGCAGAUGCUGGCACUAUGCUUUUGAAUCUCUAAAGCCAAAAGCUAAAUAAACCUCUCUUUUCUUUAUAAAUUACCCAGACUUCUCUAGAGGUCUGCGUCAUUGGCUGCUCACUUCCCUGGAAAGAAGACUUCCGGUUGUCCAUCUGGAAGCCACAGCGUGCACCUGCUCUGGAAUGCUUUCCUGGCCCACAUUCUGGAAGACUUGGCCAUAUGCUCCUGGUGAUGUCCACGAUGGCCAGGGACAUCAGCCUGCAGUAGUGCUCACCGUGCAUGGAGCAGCUUGCAAGAAUCUGUAGGCAGCUACCAAGGGAGGACAUACAUUGCGCUGAAGAGCUAGCAAACAAAUUGAGGGGAGAAGAGGAACACAAAUAAAGACAGAAAGCCAAAGGACCAUGUGGCAGAUAAUUAUUGUUUCUUCAUGUCUGGCCUUCACCUAUCUUUUUCUAGUAAACAAACAUACAAACA
Molecule: long non-coding RNA, 516 nt
Filed under: Heterocephalus glaber (naked mole-rat)
Lineage: Eukaryota; Metazoa; Chordata; Mammalia; Rodentia; Bathyergidae
Description: lncRNA (ENSHGLG00100048880.1)
Source: RNAcentral